This is a long non-coding RNA of Actinia tenebrosa (Australian red waratah sea anemone), 385 nucleotides long. The record is from RefSeq and is a predicted model, not a curated record. Lineage: Eukaryota; Metazoa; Cnidaria; Anthozoa; Actiniaria; Actiniidae.
AGAAUGUUUUUAAAAACAAAAUUUAAUUUUGAACAAAUAUUUUUUUACAAAUAGAAACACGUAAAAACUAAAUAGUUUAUUAACAUUGUCAACUAGAUGACUUAACAAAAUAAAACGCAUUCUUUUUGGUAGAACACAAGAGUGAUUACGCGGUGUUUGGGGUUCCUGUGUUUAUGUCACGCAUUCUUCAUUGUUUUCAAAGUCUGUCGCGGUAGUGUCCAUUUAGAUAUGGCACCGUGUUAAUAAUGAGUGAAAUUAAGCGUGAUCCGGCCAGACUCGAUUCAACUGGUUUCAGAUCCAGUCAUGAUGAAUGCUUCGAACCUCUUCCAAGAGAUUUUCCUUGAUUGUAUCAGCUCGAACAUUGUAAUUAAAGUAUUGUACUGUG